Long non-coding RNA from Triticum aestivum (bread wheat), 383 nucleotides. RefSeq lists it as uncharacterized. The record is from RefSeq and is a predicted model, not a curated record. The transcript has 3 exons. NCBI's taxonomy places the organism in Eukaryota, Viridiplantae, Streptophyta, Magnoliopsida, Poales, Poaceae.
AUGUAGGAAAAAAGCGAAAAUGCAAAUAGAUGAGAAAUCCCAACUUAUUCCUUUGGCCAUUUCUGUAACCAAAGCUAUUGGCUGGCCAACACAAAGGAGCUGAAAUUUCAUAGCGACAAAAAUAGGUGCUAGAGGUACCGUGCAAGCAAGCAUGGCGACCGCGAUCAUGCUGCAGUGGCUGGGUAUAUCCCCUCCCGCUAGCUGAGGAUGGGCUCGAUGAUGGGGCUCCUACCCUUACACAGGUAUAUUCCCACAUUGAACUCGAUUAUUGCAAUGAUUGGGUUGAUUUGGACAUACUGUGCCUUGAAUGACUUUUCCCGUUGGGCAAUUCAAAUGAUGGAAGCCUCUUCUGACCCUUCCACCUCUCCGGCCUCACCACUGGA